This 185-nucleotide ribosomal RNA is filed under the name Chloroflexota bacterium. Its description in RNAcentral is "partial 16S ribosomal RNA". It matches the Rfam family "Bacterial small subunit ribosomal RNA", at positions 1351 to 1533 of the family's 1533-position model. The record is from RNAcentral. Lineage: Bacteria; Bacillati; Chloroflexota.
AGCAUACUGCGGUGAAUACGUUCCCGGGCCUUGUACACACCGCCCGUCAAGUGAUGGAAGUCGACAACACUUUAAGUCGUCGAGCUAACCCGCAAGGGGAGCAGACGCCCAAGGUGGGGUCGAUGACUGGCACUAAGUCGUAACAAGGUAGCCGUACCGGAAGGUGCGGCUGGAUCACCUCCUUU